AGGGGGGAUACCUAGUCAUUUUUUCCGUCUUCAUUGCGUGCCAUCAUCAUUCUCAAAGCCGCAGUUUACUUCUAAGAUCACUUUAGCACCGCCCUAAAAACCCGAUUCAAACUCGACACAAACUUUCAAAUAGGUAUGUAAUGACACAUUAUAUAAACUCUUUAUAGUGUUUUAUUUAAAAUUUUUAGAGGCGAUAAGUUCCCACACGACAUCUGUCCUUCUCACUAUCACGCAUUAGUUUCGCUUCCCCACCCGCCAUAAAAAAAAAAAAGAAGACCCGAAGGGGCUCAUUGAUUGAAUUAUGCAGAAACGGGCAGUGUUUAGGUCCUGUAAUUGAUUUUGUUGGAAAGGAGAGAAAUCGUGCAUUGCAAUGGUAUUGACAUUACAGUCUAUCUGGAAGUAUUACGUUUUUGGGGAACUAAAAUAAGGGCAAUUGUAGGGACCAAGGCGAAGUACGAGUUUACGUUAGUCAGUUAACGUUAUUUCUGGUUUUGUAGGUAAAGCAAGGCAGGCUAGCUAACGUUAGCUAGCUAGCUGUUAGCCUACAACUCGGAUUUGCAAGUUUGUUCGUAUGUCAUAAAAGUGUAUUGUCUUGGGCAAAACUAAAUAAUGGAUGCAGCUAUGGUGGUAGCUAACUCACGUCUGAGUCUGACUAAUACAGUGAAGUAGGAGCAACAAACCAUAACGGCGUCUAGAGAUGCAGUUGGUCUACAUCUGUAAAGCAUAGAAUUAGCUUGACCCGCGUUACUACCCUGAUGACACAGACGUCUUCAUCAACAACAGUAAUGUGUGUUAUGUAAAAAGUUGUAUAAAAAAUACCUGGUUUCAUAAACUAGUAGGUUAAUUACCCAGCCAAGCAGAUUCAAGUAGUAGAGUCAUUUUGGUUGAGAAGUGCAUUAUCAAAACGCCUCGUCCAUUCUUUAUAACAAAAUGCAAUUUACCACUUGGCUGUCUAUUGUAUCAUCCUGUCACAAGCUCUUUCAGUCAACAACACCUAAUGAGGAAUUACAUUGUUUAUGAGGAUUGCCUGCUGCAGUUGUUCGAGAGAUGUCUUGUUUGUAGCUGAACAUUCAACAUAGAGAAGACCAGCAAGGGGACCCUCAGCAUCACACAGACAUGCCCUCGCUGUGAGCAUUCCUAUAAAUGGAACAGGGAGGACACUUGAAUCAGGUUGGAGUUUCGAGUUUUGUCCCAAUUCACCUUCAUAACCUAGCCUGGUGGAAUCAGUCUGAUUGCUGCGUUUACCACAUGAUAUCUGAAGUGAAACAGAAAGUUGAAUACAGUGAUGAGGUUGGUUCCACCAUGCUAAUCAGAAGCACCAUUGAUAAUGUAAUCAGUGCUCUGUGUGUGUGUGAACGAUCAGUAUCUUUGAUGAGGGGCCAGUAAUGGGCCGCUGGCAAAGACCUUACCUCUAGCCUUAACUCUUGCCUGCUCACCAAUGGUCCACAAUGUGGAGGUCAGAAUUAGGUAGGUUUAGUCUAACUGCCAUUGGUAAUAGAACUGUGACUGUGUAUGUGUUCACGAUACAGAACCAUGACUGUAUGUGUUCACAAUACGUUUAUGGAGCCUGCACCUGGAGACUUGCAAGAUGAUGUGAUGGAAUCCUGACCGACAGACAGGCUUGAUACUGACUUCGCUGAAUGGAGAGACACCUGGCACUCAACACAUCCACAAUGUGGUUCUGAAGAUGAAGAGUACUAAAGAUGCUUUUGCCAGACGCCAGCCUCGGUCGUUUGAUAGAGGGACCAUAAUUGGAAACAUGUAUAGAGACAGCACAUGGAAACUUGCAAGAUGUGAUGAAGUCCAGACUGACAGACGGGCUUAAUACUGAUGCCUCCAAAUGGAGAGAGACCUGACACGGCAUUAAAGUUUUACUACACACAACUUGUACUUCUAUUGUUUUUAAAAAUGAUUUAAUAGAAUGGUAUCAGUCAAUAUGGGGAGGGAGAAACCUUGUGUAUUCUGCACCAGGAUCAGGGAACUCCGGUUGUAUACUGAACACCACACAGGAAGAUAUGACAACUCUGACAUGUUUGCCAAGGUAACCCAUUCACCACCAGACAAAAUGCCAAUAGGCACAGUAUCUGUAUCGGCUGGGAAUGACAAUGGAAGCUGAAAGCUGCACAUUGUUAUAUUAGCAGAACUAUGGUAUUAGGGAAUGGGUUGUUUAUUCUACAUGGAUCUGUUACUACAUUUGAAAGUUAUCAAAACUCUUAGCUUAGAAUAUCUACAUAAUUCAGCAAUUGCAUUCUCAUAUUACUCCGUAGGCUACUGACCUAUUCAAAGCUUCCUCUGGCAUCUCACCAUACAUCUGCCUGGAGUUAUUGAACUCAACCUGCAAGAGGGUUGUUUGAUGGAUGCUACCAUGACUACAGAUAAUCCUGAAUAAAUUGUGAAUAACGAUGAGUGAGAAAGUAACAGACGCACAAGUAUCAUACUUCCAAGACAUGCUGACAUCUCACCAUUACAAUAACAGCGGAGGUUAGCAUUUUUGGGGGGUAUGACAUUUGUGCGUCUGUAACGUUCCCAGCUGGCAAUGAGGAAUCGGCCCAGGAGCGGUCCUCUUCCGGGGAACCGGAACUGAUUGGAUUGGCUCGGAACAGCGUGAUGGGACAAGGACAUCCCAAACCCCCAUAACUCGGACGACGCUGGGCCAAUUGUGCAUCGCCUCAUGGGUCUCCCGGUCGCGGCCGGCAUGGGUAUCGAACUAGCAUCUGUAGCAACGCAAUUUGCAAUGCAGUGCUGUGUCUUAGACCGCUGCGCCACUCAUAUUAAAAUUCUACUUAAACAGGACUCUUAACACAAAAUGUUAAUUGUAUUUUUUGAUCACAGAAACAAUAGUUAAAUAAAAAACAGAAAAUAUGGAAUAAAUAAAUGUUAAAUAAAGCAGCCGUGUAAUGAUCUGCAUUUGGAUAACUCACACCGGAAUCAGUCCGAGCUCAAUCCCCGCAUAAGUAAUACCAGCCAUAAGUAAUACUGCCUAAGGUGGCCCAGAUCCACUGUGCUAGCUGGGUUCUCACUCAUCAUUAUUCAUAGUACAUUCAGGAUUUUCCAUAAUCAUGGUAACAUCCACAUUAAUGUGUAAGUGUUUAGAAGCAUAUUCUGUUCUUAUUUACAAUAAAAGUGACCCCAAAAUGACUACAUUAUUUAGUGUUCAUUUCUGUUGGGCACAAGAUAAUCUGAAACACAACCAAAACAAACAGUAAAUGCAUCCAACAAAUUUGCAGAGGCACAAGCUUGAUGUAGUCAUUGCAUGCUAUGAAUAUGGGACCAAAUACUGAACUUUUUACUACUUUAAUGCACAUAAGUGAAUUUGUCCAAAUACUUUUGGACCCCUAAAAUGGGGGGGGGGGGACUAUGUACAAAAAGGGUUGUAAUUUCUAAACGGUUCACCCGAUAUGGAUGAAAAUACCCUCAAAUUAAAUCUGACAGUCUGGACUUUAACCUCAUAGUCAUUGUUUGAUUUUAAAUUUAGAGCCAAAAUGAAGAAAAAAUGCUUCACUGUCCAAUUAAUUACAGAGGGCACUGUAUAUUGAGGCAAAAAAAUGGACAGUAGCCAAAUAGUUAAAUGAAACUCAAUUGAAUGAACAUGAAAUAUCAUUGAAAGACAGUAUAUAGGCCUAUGUAGCCUACACUGUAGGUAGGCUUUUUUAUCCUUAGCUUGUUUGUAACAAUGGCAAAGACUUUGGCAUCUUUGUAUUUGUAGUCCACUUCAUUGUGAAGUUGAAUUUGGUGAUGAAUUUGAAAUUAAAAUCAAUAUUCACAAUUAUUUGUGUUCUUAUUUGUUGAUGUGACAAUGUGACAACGUACCCAACUUAAGUGUGACAAUUUACCCGCUGAUGGGGCAAAUUGUCACAAGUGCACACUUUCUAUUUAACGGUCUACAACUCCAUACUGAAA
This is a long non-coding RNA of Oncorhynchus tshawytscha (Chinook salmon), 3900 nucleotides long. NCBI's taxonomy places the organism in Eukaryota, Metazoa, Chordata, Actinopteri, Salmoniformes, Salmonidae. The record is from Ensembl.